Molecule: long non-coding RNA, 223 nt
Filed under: Erythranthe guttata (spotted monkey flower)
Lineage: Eukaryota; Viridiplantae; Streptophyta; Magnoliopsida; Lamiales; Phrymaceae
Description: long non-coding RNA (EGUT_LNC002241)
Source: RNAcentral
AAUUCUUACCGAGUCUUUCUAAAGGUUCAUAUAGAUGUUAUCUUGGUGUAGGUAACUCAUGCUCCGAAUCCGAGGAGCAAAGUUGAAUCAAGUUUGGGGAAAGCCGAGGGAUCGAGCCGUAUGGAAUUUAUGUGGAUUUUAAUAAACUUCCGUUUUGGUACUUAAAUCUUUUUAGUAGAUUGUAAUCCGUAGUACUUGAAUAUGUUAUCGGGAAAUGAUUUUA